UACGUAAGGGGCAAGCGUUAUCCGGAUUUACUGGGUGUAAAGGGAGCGUAGACGGUGAGGCAAGUCUGAUGUGAAAACCCGGGGCUCAACUCCGGGAUUGCAUUGGAAACUGUCUGACUUGAGUACUGGAGGGGUAAGCGGAAUUCCCGGUGUAGCGGUGAAAUGCGUAGAUAUCAGGAGGAACACCGGUGGCGAAGGCGGCUUACCGGACAGUAACUGACGUUGAGGCUCGAAAGCGUGGGGAGCAAACAGGAUUAGAUACCCCGGUAGUCCCUGAGCGGGCUGGCAA
This 289-nucleotide ribosomal RNA is filed under the name uncultured prokaryote. RNAcentral describes it as "partial 16S ribosomal RNA". It matches the Rfam family "Bacterial small subunit ribosomal RNA", at positions 524 to 815 of the family's 1533-position model. The record is from RNAcentral.